ACGCGUAUGCAAUCUACCUCUUUACGAGGGAUAGCCCAGAGAAAUUUGGAUUAAUACCUCAUAGUAUAACGACUCGGCAUCGAGAUGUUAUUAAAGUUCCAACGGUAAAAGAUGAGCAUGCGUCCCAUUAGCUAGUUGGUGUGGUAACGGCACACCAAGGCAACGAUGGGUAGGGGUCCUGAGAGGGAGAUCCCCCACACUGGUACUGAGACACGGACCAGACUCCUACGGGAGGCAGCAGUGAGGAAUAUUGGUCAAUGGGCGCAAGCCUGAACCAGCCAUGCCGCGUGCAGGAUGACGGUCCUAUGGAUUGUAAACUGCUUUUGUACAGGAAGAAACACUCCCUCGUGAGGGAGCUUGACGGUACUGUAAGAAUAAGGAUCGGCUAACUCCGUGCCAGCAGCCGCGGUAAUACGGAGGAUCCAAGCGUUAUCCGGAAUCAUUGGGUUUAAAGGGUCCGUAGGCGGGUUUAUAAGUCAGUGGUGAAAGCCCAUCGCUCAACGAUGGAACGGCCAUUGAUACUGUAGAUCUUGAAUUAUUAGGAAGUAACUAGAAUAUGUAGUGUAGCGGUGAAAUGCUUAGAGAUUACAUGGAAUACCAAUUGCGAAGGCAGGUUACUACUAAUGGAUUGACGCUGAUGGACGAAAG
This 648-nucleotide ribosomal RNA is filed under the name uncultured bacterium. Its description in RNAcentral is "bacterial SSU rRNA". It matches the Rfam family "Bacterial small subunit ribosomal RNA", at positions 113 to 759 of the family's 1533-position model. The record is from RNAcentral.